UUUGGUUAAGUUAGAAAGGGCGCACGGUGGAUGCCUUGACACUAGGAGUCGAUGAAGGACGGGACUAACGCCGAUAUGCUUCGGGGAGCUGUAAGUAAGCUUUGAUCCGAAGAUUUCCGAAUGGGGAAACCCACCAUACGUAAUGGUAUGGUAUCCUUACCUGAAUACAUAGGGUAAGGAAGACAGACCCAGGGAACUGAAACAUCUAAGUACCUGGAGGAAGAGAAAGCAAAUGCGAUUUCCUGAGUAGCGGCGAGCGAAACGGAACAUAGCCCAAACCAAGAGGCUUGCCUCUUGGGGUUGUAGGACAUUCUAUACGGAGUUACAAAGGAACGAGGUAGACGAAGCGACCUGGAAAGGUCCGUCGUAGAGGGUAACAACCCCGUAGUCGAAACUUCGUUCUCUCUUGAAUGUAUCCUGAGUACGGCGGAACACGUGAAAUUCCGUCGGAAUCUGGGAGGACCAUCUCCCAAGGCUAAAUACUCCCUAGUGAUCGAUAGUGAACCAGUACCGUGAGGGAAAGGUGAAAAGCACCCCGGAAGGGGAGUGAAAGAGAUCCUGAAACCGUGUGCCUACAAAUAGUCAGAGCCCGUUAACGGGUGAUGGCGUGCCUUUUGUAGAAUGAACCGGCGAGUUACGAUCCCGUGCGAGGUUAAGCUGAAGAGGCGGAGCCGCAGCGAAAGCGAGUCUGAAUAGGGCGUUUAGUACGUGGUCGUAGACCCGAAACCAGGUGAUCUACCCAUGUCCAGGGUGAAGUUCAGGUAACACUGAAUGGAGGCCCGAACCCACGCACGUUGAAAAGUGCGGGGAUGAGGUGUGGGUAGCGGAGAAAUUCCAAUCGAACCUGGAGAUAGCUGGUUCUCCCCGAAAUAGCUUUAGGGCUAGCCUUAAGUGUAAGAGUCUUGGAGGUAGAGCACUGAUUGGACUAGGGGUCCUCAUCGGAUUACCGAAUUCAGUCAAACUCCGAAUGCCAAUGACUUAUCCUUAGGAGUCAGACUGCGAGUGAUAAGAUCCGUAGUCAAAAGGGAAACAGCCCAGACCGCCAGCUAAGGUCCCAAAGUGUGUAUUAAGUGGAAAAGGAUGUGGAGUUGCUUAGACAACUAGGAUGUUGGCUUAGAAGCAGCCACCAUUUAAAGAGUGCGUAAUAGCUCACUAGUCGAGUGACUCUGCGCCGAAAAUGUACCGGGGCUAAAUACACCACCGAAGCUGCGGAUUGAUACCGAAUGGUAUCAGUGGUAGGGGAGCGUUCUAAGGACAGUGAAGUCAGACCGGAAGGACUGGUGGAGUGCUUAGAAGUGAGAAUGCCGGUAUGAGUAGCGAAAGACGGGUGAGAAUCCCGUCCACCGAAUGCCUAAGGUUUCCUGAGGAAGGCUCGUCCGCUCAGGGUUAGUCAGGACCUAAGCCGAGGCCGACAGGCGUAGGCGAUGGACAACAGGUUGAUAUUCCUGUACCACCUCUUUAUCGUUUGAGCAAUGGAGGGACGCAGAAGGAUAGAAGAAGCGUGCGAUUGGUUGUGCACGUCCAAGCAGUUAGGCUGAUAAGUAGGCAAAUCCGCUUAUCGUAAAGGCUGAGCUGUGAUGGGGAAGCUCCUUAUGGAGCGAAGUCUUUGAUUCCCCGCUGCCAAGAAAAGCUUCUAGCGAGAUAAAAGGUGCCUGUACCGCAAACCGACACAGGUAGGCGAGGAGAGAAUCCUAAGGUGUGCGAGAGAACUCUGGUUAAGGAACUCGGCAAAAUGACCCCGUAACUUCGGGAGAAGGGGUGCUUUCUUAACGGAAAGCCGCAGUGAAUAGGCCCAAGCGACUGUUUAGCAAAAACACAGCUCUCUGCGAAGCCGUAAGGCGAAGUAUAGGGGGUGACACCUGCCCGGUGCUGGAAGGUUAAGGAGAGGGGUUAGCGUAAGCGAAGCUCUGAACUGAAGCCCCAGUAAACGGCGGCCGUAACUAUAACGGUCCUAAGGUAGCGAAAUUCCUUGUCGGGUAAGUUCCGACCCGCACGAAAGGUGUAACGAUUUGGGCACUGUCUCAACCAGAGACUCGGUGAAAUUAUAGUACCUGUGAAGAUGCAGGUUACCCGCGACAGGACGGAAAGACCCCGUGGAGCUUUACUGUAGCCUGAUAUUGAAUUUUGGUACAGUUUGUACAGGAUAGGCGGGAGCCAUUGAAACCGGAGCGCUAGCUUCGGUGGAGGCGCUGGUGGGAUACCGCCCUGACUGUAUUGAAAUUCUAACCUACGGGUCUUAUCGACCCGGGAGACAGUGUCAGGUGGGCAGUUUGACUGGGGCGGUCGCCUCCUAAAGUGUAACGGAGGCGCCCAAAGGUUCCCUCAGAAUGGUUGGAAAUCAUUCGUAGAGUGCAAAGGCAUAAGGGAGCUUGACUGCGAGACCUACAAGUCGAGCAGGGACGAAAGUCGGGCUUAGUGAUCCGGUGGUUCCGCAUGGAAGGGCCAUCGCUCAACGGAUAAAAGCUACCCCGGGGAUAACAGGCUUAUCUCCCCCAAGAGUCCACAUCGACGGGGAGGUUUGGCACCUCGAUGUCGGCUCAUCGCAUCCUGGGGCUGUAGUCGGUCCCAAGGGUUGGGCUGUUCGCCCAUUAAAGCGGUACGCGAGCUGGGUUCAGAACGUCGUGAGACAGUUCGGUCCCUAUCCGUCGUGGGCGUAGGAAAUUUGAGAGGAGCUGUCCUUAGUACGAGAGGACCGGGAUGGACGCACCGCUGGUGUACCAGUUGUUCUGCCAAGGGCAUAGCUGGGUAGCUAUGUGCGGAAGGGAUAAGUGCUGAAAGCAUCUAAGCAUGAAGCCCCCCUCAAGAUGAGAUUUCCCAUAGCGUAAGCUAGUAAGAUCCCUGAAAGAUGAUCAGGUUGAUAGGUUCGAGGUGGAAGCAUGGUGACAUGUGGAGCUGACGAAUACUAAUAGAUCGAGGACUUAACCAUAUAA
RNAcentral lists this ribosomal RNA (2930 nucleotides) under Bacillus thuringiensis. RNAcentral's name for it is "bacterial LSU rRNA". It matches the Rfam family "Bacterial large subunit ribosomal RNA". The record is from RNAcentral. Lineage: Bacteria; Bacillati; Bacillota; Bacilli; Caryophanales; Bacillaceae.